UAGGGAAUCUUCCGCAAUGGGCGAAAGCCUGACGGAGCAACGCCGCGUGAGUGAUGAAGGUCUUCGGAUCGUAAAACUCUGUUAUUAGGGAAGAACAAAUGUGUAAGUAACUAUGCACGUCUUGACGGUACCUAAUCAGAAAGCCACGGCUAACUACGUGCCAGCAGCCGCGGUAAUACGUAGGUGGCAAGCGUUAUCCGGAAUUAUUGGUCGUAAAGCGCGCGUAGGCGGUUUUUUAAGUCUGAUGUGAAAGCCCCCGGCUCAACCGUGGAGGAUCGUUUGAAACUGGAAAUCUUGAGUGCCGAAGAGGAAAGUGGAAUUCCAUGUGUAGCGGUGACAUGCGCAGAGAUAUGGAGGAACCCCAGUGGCGAAGGCGACUUUCUAGUAUGUAACUGACGCUGAUGUGCGAAAGCGUGGGGAUCAAACAGG
This 429-nucleotide ribosomal RNA is filed under the name Actinomycetes bacterium. RNAcentral's name for it is "Actinobacteria bacterium partial 16S ribosomal RNA". It matches the Rfam family "Bacterial small subunit ribosomal RNA", at positions 355 to 776 of the family's 1533-position model. Lineage: Bacteria; Bacillati; Actinomycetota; Actinomycetes. The record is from RNAcentral.